UACGUAGGGAGCGAGCGUUGUUCGGAAUCACUGGGCGUAAAGCGAACGUAGGCGGGAAAGUAAGUUAGAAGUGAAAUGUAUCGGCUCAACCGAUGAUCUGCUUUUAAUACUGCUUUUCUUGAGUAUGAAAGAGGAAGAUGGAAUUCCAGGUGUAGCGGUGGAAUGCGUAGAUAUCUGGAAGAACACCAGUUGCGAAGGCGGUCUUCUGGUUCAAUACUGACGCUGAGGUUCGAAAGCUAGGGGAGCGAACAGG
Molecule: ribosomal RNA, 253 nt
Filed under: uncultured bacterium
Lineage: Bacteria
Description: partial 16S ribosomal RNA
Rfam family: Bacterial small subunit ribosomal RNA
Source: RNAcentral